GGUUCGAUUCUGGCUCAGAUUGAACGCUGGCGGGAUGUUUACACAUGCAAGUCGAACGGCAGCACGGACUUCGGUCUGGUGGCGAGUGGCGAACGGGUGAGUAAUGUAUCGGAACGCCUAGUAGCGUAGAUGAAUUCACGCGAAAGGUAGCUAAUACCUUCUGCCACCCCCGGGGGAAAGCGGGGACCUUCGCCUCGCACUAAUAGAGCGGCCGGGAUAUCGGAUUAGCUAGUUGGUGGGGUAACUGGUUCUCACCAAGGUGACGAUCCGUAGCUGAAGCUUGAGGACGACCAGCCAGCACCGGGACCGAGACACGGCCCAGACUCACGGAGGCAGCAGUGGGGAAUUUUGGACAAUGGGGAAACCCUGAUCCAGCCAUCCCGCGUGUGUGAUGAAGGCCUUCGGGUUGUAAAGCACUUUUGGCAGGAAAAGAACGGCACGGAUAAUACCCCGUGCAACUGACGGUACCUGCAGAAUAAGCACCGGCUAACUACGUGCCAGCAGCCGCGGUAAUACGUAGGGUGCAAGCGUUAAUCGGAAUUACUGGGCGUAAAGCGUGUGCAGGCGGUUCGGAAAGAAAGAUGUGAAAUCCCAGAGCUUAACUUUGGAACUGCAUUUUUAACUACCGAGCUAGAGUGUGUCAGAGGGAGGUGGAAUUCCGCGUGUAGCAGUGAAAUGCGUAGAUAUGCGGAGGAACACCGAUGGCGAAGGCAGCCCUCCUGGGAUAACACUGACGCUCAUGCACGAAAGCGUGGGGAGCAAAACAGGAUUAGAUACCCUGGUAGUCCACGCCCUAAACGAUGUCAACUAGCUGCUUGGGGCUUUCGGGCCUCGGUAGCAGCUAAUGGCAGAAGUUGACCGCCUGGGGAGUACGGUCGCAAGAUUGAAAACUCAAAGGAAUUGACGGGGACCUGCACAAGCGGUGGAUGAUGUGGAUUGUCUGAUGCAACGCGAAAACCUUACCUACCCUUGACAUGUCUGAAUCCCGAAGAGAUUUAUGCUCGCAAGAGAACCGGAACACAGGUGCUGCAUGGCUGUCGUCAGCUCGUGUCGAGAUGUUGGGUUAAGUCCCGCAACGAGUGCAACCCUUGUCAUUAGUUGCUACGAAAGGGCACUCUAUCGAGACUGCCGGUGACAAACCGAGGAAGGUGGAUGACGUCAAGUCCUCAUGGCCCUUAUGGGUAGGGCUUCACACGUCAUGUUAAAUGGUCGGGACAGGUCGCCAACCCGCGAGUGGGAGCCAAUCCCAGAAACCCGAUCAGUCCGAUCGCAGUCUGCAACCUGACUGCGUGAAGUCGGAAUCGCUAGUAAUCGCGGAUCAGCAUGUCGCGGUGAAUACGUUCCCGGGUCUUGUACACACCGCCCGUCACACCAUGGGAGUGGGUUUUACCAGAAGUAGUUAGCCUAACCGUAAGGAGGGUUAUCACCACGGUAGGAUUCAUGACUGGGGUGAAGUCGUAACAAGGCAG
This 1469-nucleotide ribosomal RNA is filed under the name uncultured Bordetella sp. RNAcentral's name for it is "partial 16S-23S ribosomal RNA intergenic spacer". It matches the Rfam family "Bacterial small subunit ribosomal RNA". The record is from RNAcentral. Lineage: Bacteria; Pseudomonadati; Pseudomonadota; Betaproteobacteria; Burkholderiales; Alcaligenaceae.